AUCUGUAAUUUGAUGCCUUUUGGAGGUUUUUCCAUCUUUUCUUGGCUUCUUUAUGCACAUUAAUACCUGGGGUGCCCAAACUUUCGAUCCCCACUGUAUUUAACGUGUUUCUAGCAUGUUUGGUACUUCAUGACAUAUUUAAAUGUGUUUCAGGUAGUGAAUUAGAGUGUAAAGCAUGUCAUUUCCUGAUGCCAACAGGUGGCGCUAUGACUAACUGAAUAUUUGCAUGUAGAUGUCUUCAGGCCAGGACUCUUAUCACACCUGUGAAGUUUGGGGCAGAUCAGACAUUGUAUGCCUGAUUUACCACAGCUUCCUGUUUAAUGGCGAAACAUCAGACUUUGUCAGGCCGCCACGGACACGCCCUUCAACGUGGCGCUAUGGCUAACUGAAUAUUUGCAUGUAGAUGUCUUCAGGCCAGGACUCUUAUCACACAUGUGAAGUUUGCGGCAGAUCAGACAUUGUAUACCCGAAUUACAACAACUUCCUGUUUCAUGGCGAAACAACGAACUUUGUCAGGCUGCCACGGACACACCCUUCAGUGAAAACUCUAGAUCUUCGCAAUUUUUUUUUAAUGUCGCAAAGGCCUUAAGAUUAGACUGACCAAAUAUGAUGUAAAUCUCUAGGAGGAGUUCAUUAAAGUACAACGUCUGGAAAUGGCAAGAACUACACAGAUUUUGCAGAGAAAAUUCAAAAUAUCUCAAUUCCUGUUGGGUUUUCAGAUUUUGCACCCAGGGCCUUUUCUGUAGGUAUUGGGCUGUUACAUGUGUCUACCAAAUUUCAUACCUGUACGUGAAACGUAGCGCGAGGGGCACUUUGUUGAAAUCUUGUAGGUGGCGCUAUCGAGCCAUUUUGUCUCACCUAAUUCUGAAACCCAUAUCAGACUUAAAUUUUCACCACUUCUGACGCGUGUGCAAAGUUUCAUGAGUUUUCAAGCAUGUUUAGCCCCUCAAAAAUACGAUUCAUUUCGGAGAAUAAUAAUAAUUUACCAAGCAAUUACAAUAGGGUCCUCACACCAUCAGUGCACGGGCCCUAAUAACCUAGCAACCAUACCUUAAAAUCUCUGGUAAUAACACCAUAUUUUGCACACACCAAGUCAAAACCCAUGUCUAUAGGACAGUGGCGUAGCAAGUCAGCCCCGGGCCCAUAUGCAAAAAUUUUUUUACGGGCCCCCAUCGGUUUCGCACGGGGAGUGGGGAUGCGGGGGAUGCAUCUUAUGCGAAUGAGGACUUUAAUAUGAAUAAGAUAUUAUCACUUUAAAACAUGCAGACAAAAAUGGUAAAAACUUUUCUAGGAAUGACAACAACAGCACUACAGUACUACUAUAUGCGCUCCUCCAUCAUUAUGACUUUGCAUUGCGGAUCUAUUGUCAAAAAACGGCUUUUCAACACAGUCCAAGUUUGGAUUCAGCUGAUUUGUCUUUGGAAUUUCAGAAUGAUUUCAUCAUUUCAGUUGCGAUGAGUCCGAAGAUUAUUCCAGUCAUUAAUUGAUUCUGUCACAGACUUUUUUUAAUGCACGUUUUAUUCAUAAUAAAUUUACUAGAAGUUUCUUCUCUAAAUAUGUUUCCAUCACGAUUUAUGUGCAUUUUAUUUUAAUAAUGUGUUCAAUCUUUUAAACUACAUGAAUACAUCUUUCACUUAGACACAACCACUGCCAAAACUAUAUACAGGGCCUAAAACUAACUUUAGCCACAUCUGCCUAUGGCCGGUGAUUUAAGAAAAUUUUCCAGCCAUACAUAUUUUUUACUGGCCAUGAAACUGUUUUGCCAAAACAAACAAGCAGUAAUGACACCAACAUUUUAGAUACCAGUGAAGAUUCACAAUUCUCUAUUCAAAUUUCAAGACCACAUCUAAAACCACUAGUCUAACUAAUAUAAAUGUAAAACAUUAUUAAAGACAAAUAAACUGUCAGUAAUAAAAUAGCAAAUAAUCAAAUAACAAGCAAAAGCACAAAUAAAUACAAAUGAUAUCCAAAUGAUACAAAUAAAAUGAACCGUGCUUUUCAGGUUUUUCAGAUAGGUCUAACAGUAGUUUUUGUAGUACUUUCAGUACUCAACAGAAGUGAGGGAUAAUUUUCUUUGGCCUUUGUUGUUUGAUUAACAUUAAAAACACAGACAAUGCAUGUAUCUAAGAACUAUGUUUACUGGGAUACUCGUUAUUUUUUGACAUUUUUAAAUUAAUUUGUCCACUUAAGAGCAAAAUGUCAUGAAAGACAGCUCAGUUUAGUAUUUGUGCGCUGUGAAGAGAUGCUGAUUUUUGGGCAUGCGCUUGUUUGCGCACACAAAACUUUCCCCACAGCACACGAAAUGAGCUCCCUUUUGUGCCUUCUUGCACUUGAAUAUUUAAAUUGCCAAGGCUUAAACUCUCUUGAUGAUGCAGCGCUGGCCCGUCAACUGUCCCAAUCGUCGUUUGUUUGUUCACGUUCAUGCUUUGUUAGAAUUCAUAAAAAAUGUUACCAGCCAACUGGCGUGUGACACCAUUUUAUAUGCUCGCCAACACCAAAUUUUACUCACGUUUGGCGGUUGGCAAGUAUUAAUUUUAGGCCCUGUCUAUAAGUACAGCCCAAUUUUACAUGCUCUUUUCAAAAGUGUUCAACUUCAGUUCAAAACUGAACAUAUUACAUUUAAAUAAGACAUCAAUUUGCUAUAUUUCUACAGUAAUAUCAUAUUGAAAUAUUUUCAGAAUCUAAAAAAAUUAUCUAUCAAAACAUUAUCAAAACAAUUAGAUGUUGUUGAACAUCAGUGAUAAUGUACUCAUGUCCUCAGUGAUAAUCUGAUAAUAUUUAGUUUAUCUAAAUUGUCAUAAAACAAGACAAUACAUAAAGCCUGCUGUUUGAAGAUCAAAAUUCAAAGUUUUAUGUUGAUUAUUGCAUCUAAAUAUUAAACAGUUGGCUCAACUUAAAUUUAAAUUUUAAAGUUGACCUGAAACUAAAAGUUAAUUGAGCCAACUGACAAUUUUGCAGCAAUGCAGCAAGUCAACAUAAAAUUGAGAUCUGACCUCCAAAAUCUUUACAGUGUGUUUGUGAUGGCAAGAAAUGACAAAGCAAUCAAACAGUUGUCGCACUUUACCAUCUAACAGUCAAUUUGUUUAACAGAAUGACUAUUCAUUAUAUAAAGUGAUGACCUGCAAUUGUUAACUUAAAGUGUUAUUUCUGCUUGAUUUAACCUAUAAAACUUUGUUUUGUUGGUAUAUACUGAUGUAUGUACAUUGGUUUUUUUGACUAUGGUUGGCUUAUUGAUGUUAAAUUAAUAUUUUUGACGUUUUAAGAGGUUACCAUUUUUUUUUAUUCAUUAUUCCUUGCCCAAUUCCACAAGUUAAAGUGUACAUGGUACAGUUUAGAAGCAGCAGCAUGUGCAUGUUAUAGUGAUUUCACUAUACAAAUGGACCCUGGUUCCCUGUUAGAUGGUAAAGUGCAACACCUGUUUGGUUGCCUUCAUAACCUUUAUAACCUUGCCUUUAUUUUGGAUUAAAACUCAGUUUUAUGUUGAUUAUUUCAUUGAAAAUCUUCAGUUGGUUCAAUUAAAGUGCCAGUGUUAAAAAAAAAUUGAGUUCAUAUUAGGGAUGACCAUAAUUAAACGACAGUAAGACACUUGACUGAUUAAUACCUGUAGUAAACAAUUUAAGUAAUUUUUAAAAGUAAUAUGCUACACAUAUCAUUCAAAAUUGUGUUUUUGAGAGAAAAAAACAGAUAAGUUGUGUAUGUCAUAUUUUAUUUUAACAUUCAGAAAUGUAAAAUAUGUAUCAUUUACAAAUGAACACCAAACAUAUGCUAUUUUAUAAAAUAAAGAUAAAAAGUGCUGCUUUAUGCUGCUAUUUGCACAUGUAAAACUAAACUUUUGUGGUAUUUUAAUGGGUCACAAUUUAAUUCUAAUUUAACCUUCUAAUCUUUUCGGUUAACAGAUAAUGAUCUGUUAAAAGGCAUCGGCUGUCAGUCAGGAAAAAAAAAAAAAAAACAUCCAAAAUGAACAUCCCUACUUCAUAUAUUUCAAUUGUCAACAAAAAUGUUGAGAUCUAAACUCUAAAAUCUUUACAGUGUAUUUGUGAUGGCAUAAAAUGCCAAAGCAACCAAACAGAUGUCGCAAUUUACCAUCUAACAGGGGACCAAAGGCAUUUUGUUUAAUCAUAUCAAUAUUCACUGUAAAAAGUGGUCACCUGCAAUUGUUACAUUUUAAAGAGCUUUUUCUGCUUGAUUUAACCAAUAAAACUUGGUUUUGUUGUUAUAAAUUAAUGUACUCAGGUUGGUUCAGUAAGUUUUAAUAACUGACUUGAACAAAAUUAAUUUGCCAUUAUUAUAAUAAUAAUAAUAAUAAUAAUAAUAAUAUAAUAAUAAUAAUUUAUUCACCAUUCCGUGUCCAUUUUCACACAAGUUAAAGUGUACAUGGUAAAGUUAAGCAGCAGCAACAUGUGCAUGUUAUAGUGAUUUCAUUACACAAAAGGACACUGGUCCCCUGUUAGAUGGUAAUGUUUGACACCUGUUUGGUUGCCUUUAUAUUUAGCAAUAUUUCAUAAUCUGAUUAGCUCUGAAUGUAACAGCAAUGUUUGUAAUAAAACUAAAACACCAGUUCUUGCAAUUUAAAAAAAAAAAAAAAAAAACUAGAAAUAUUUUGAAGGUCAAAACUCAGUUUUAUGUUGAUUGUUGCA
Molecule: long non-coding RNA, 4637 nt
Organism: Ctenopharyngodon idella (grass carp)
Lineage: Eukaryota; Metazoa; Chordata; Actinopteri; Cypriniformes; Xenocyprididae
Exons: 2
Source: RefSeq, a predicted model, not a curated record